Molecule: ribosomal RNA, 386 nt
Filed under: uncultured bacterium
Lineage: Bacteria
Description: bacterial SSU rRNA
Rfam family: Bacterial small subunit ribosomal RNA
Source: RNAcentral
AUUGAACGCUGGCGGCAUGCCUUACACAUGCAAGUCGAACGGCAGCACGGGAGCAAUCCUGGUGGCGAGUGGCGAACGGGUGAGUAAUACAUCGGAACGUGCCCAGUAGUGGGGGAUAACCCGGCGAAAGCCGGACUAAUACCGCAUACGACCUAAGGGUGAAAGCGGGGGAUCGCAAGACCUUGCGCUAUUGGAGCGGCCGAUGUCAGAUUAGCUAGUUGGUGGGGAAAGGCCUACCAAGGCGACGAUCUGUAGCUGGUCUGAGAGGACGACCAGCCACACUGGGACUGAGACACGGCCCAGACUCCUACGGGAGGCAGCAGUGGGGAAUUUUGGACAAUGGGCGCAAGCCUGAUCCAGCCAUGCCGCGUGCGGGAAGAAGGCCU